This 1336-nucleotide ribosomal RNA is filed under the name uncultured bacterium. RNAcentral describes it as "bacterial SSU rRNA". It matches the Rfam family "Bacterial small subunit ribosomal RNA", at positions 28 to 1363 of the family's 1533-position model. The record is from RNAcentral.
GACGAACGCUUGCGGCGUGCCUAAGAAAUGCAAGUCGAGCGGGGUCAUCCCGAGCAAUCGGGAGAAGCCUAGCGGCGAACGGUCGAGUAACACGUAAGCAACUUGCCCCGAAGACCGGGAUAGCCCGCCGAAAGGCGGAUUAAUACCGGGUGUGGUCCCGACAGGGCAUCCUGACGGGAUUAAAACCCGCAAGGGGCUUCGGGAUGGGCUUGCGGCCUAUCAGCUUGUUGGUGGGGUAGCGGCUCACCAAGGCGACGACGGGUAGCUGGUCUGAGAGGAUGGUCAGCCGGACUGGGACUGAGACACGGCCCAGACUCCUACGGGGGGCAGCAAUUAGGAAUUUUGCGCAAUGGGCGAAAGCCUGACGCAGCGACGCCGCGUGGCCGAUGAAGUCCUUCGGGAUGUAAAGGUCUUUUCUGGGGGAAGAACACAAUGACGGUACCUCAGGAAUAAGCCCCGGCUAACUACGUGCCAGCAGCCGCGGUGAUACGUAGGGGGCGAGCGUUGUCCGGAUUUACUGGGCGUAAAGCGCGCGUAGGCGGCCUAUUAAGUCGAGUGUGAAAGGUUGCAGCUCAACUGCAAGAGUGCGCUCGAUACUGGUGGGCUAGAGGCAAGGAGAGGGAAGUGGAAUUCCUGGUGUAGCGGUGAAAUGCGUAGAUAUCAGGAGGAACACCCGUGGCGAAGGCGGCUUCCUGGCCUUGUCCUAACGCUGAGGCGCGAAAGCCAGGGGAGCGAACGGGAUUAGAUACCCCGGUAGUCCUGGCCGUAAACGAUGGACACUAGGUGUUGGAGGUAUCGACCCCUCCAGUGCCGUAGCUAACGCAUUAAGUGUCCCGCCUGGGGAGUACGACCGCAAGGUUGAGACUCAAAGGAAUUGACGGGGGCCCGCACAAGCGGUGGAGCAUGUGGAUUAAUACGUCACUAACCGUAGAACCUUACCAGGGCUUGACAUCCGCUGAAAGCGCCUGAAAGGGAUGCCCUCCCGGCCAAAAGCCGGGACAGCGAGACAGGUGUUGCAUGGCUGUCGUCAGCUCGUGUCGUGAGGUGUUGGGUUUAAGUCCCGCAACGAGCGCAACCCUCAUCCGAUGUUGCCAGCGUUGAGUCGGGCACUCUUCGGAAACUGCCCGUGUAAGCGGGAGGAAGGUGGGGAUGACGUCAAGUCAGCAUGGCCCUUACGCCCUGGGCUUCACACAUGCUACAAUGGCCGCAAACAAAGAGAACCGAUACCGCGAGGUGGAGGAAAUCUCAGAAAUACGGCCUCAGUUCGGAUUGCAGUCUGCAACUCGACUGCAUGAAGCCGGAAUCGCUAGUAACCGCAGGUUAGCGAAACUGCGGU